AGAUUGAACGCUGGCGGCUGGCCUAACACAUGCAAGUCGAGCGGUAGAGAGGUGCUUGCACCUCUUGAGAGCGGCGGACGGGUGAGUAAUGCCUAGGAAUCUGCCUAGUGGUGGGGGAUAACGUUCGGAAACGGACGCUAAUACCGCAUACGUCCUACGGGAGAAAGCGGGGGACCUUCGGGCCUCGCGCCAUUAGAUGAGCCUAGGUCGGAUUAGCUAGUUGGUGAGGUAAUGGCUCACCAAGGCGACGAUCCGUAACUGGUCUGAGAGGAUGAUCAGUCACACUGGAACUGAGACACGGUCCAGACUCCGUACGGGAGCAGCAGUGGGGAAUAGUUGGAACAAGUGGGACGAAAGGCCUAGGAACU
RNAcentral lists this ribosomal RNA (368 nucleotides) under uncultured soil bacterium. RNAcentral describes it as "bacterial SSU rRNA". It matches the Rfam family "Bacterial small subunit ribosomal RNA", at positions 26 to 391 of the family's 1533-position model. The record is from RNAcentral.